UUUUGUUGAUAUUAUCUAUAUU
This 22-nucleotide small nuclear RNA is filed under the name Arabidopsis thaliana (thale cress). RNAcentral describes it as "snRNA_13413". Lineage: Eukaryota; Viridiplantae; Streptophyta; Magnoliopsida; Brassicales; Brassicaceae. The record is from RNAcentral.